Molecule: long non-coding RNA, 452 nt
Organism: Cucurbita maxima (winter squash)
Lineage: Eukaryota; Viridiplantae; Streptophyta; Magnoliopsida; Cucurbitales; Cucurbitaceae
Exons: 2
Source: RefSeq, a predicted model, not a curated record
UCAGCAUUAUUGCUCCCAAUUUUUUUGUUCACUUCCUAAAGUUUCUAAGCUAGAUUUCGAUUCAGCACACGAUUAAAUUAUUGUUAUUGAACUGCUUCAUAGUUUUUCUAUAUUGCAUUUAGUGUCUUAUGCCUCCAUAAAAGUAGUUUUACUUUCCUCGAACUCGCAUUCCAAGGCCACAACUUUCAGAUUACUAUAGUGAUCCAUUAUCUCAAACCUUGCACUAAGCAUCUAAUUUCCCUCUACUCCAAUGCCUUUUGAAGUUCGAAAGCAAAUUUAGGUUUUGAAUGCCGGAAUUUCCCAUGCCAUUGUCUGUGCCUUCACCUAUUGUUUUUCUAUAUGAUGGCUUCUUUGUAACGUCACUGUCCUAAAUUGGAGUAUCGACUUCGGUCUCUACUCCCCAUGCCCUAACUGUUUCCCUCAAGAAAACCAAGCAGACAUCUUCUUUGAUU